CUCCCGAGCUCGUAGUUUGAGGC
This 23-nucleotide non-coding RNA is filed under the name Arabidopsis thaliana (thale cress). Lineage: Eukaryota; Viridiplantae; Streptophyta; Magnoliopsida; Brassicales; Brassicaceae. The record is from RNAcentral.